Molecule: long non-coding RNA, 565 nt
Organism: Capsicum annuum
Lineage: Eukaryota; Viridiplantae; Streptophyta; Magnoliopsida; Solanales; Solanaceae
Exons: 3
Source: RefSeq, a predicted model, not a curated record
CAAACAUUUUCCCUCUUGGCCAAAACAUUUCCCUCUCAUUUUCCCCCAAAUCAAUCCUCUCUCUCAUUUUCCCCCAAAUUGAAUCCGGUCGGCCGACCAUUGCUACUGAAACAGCAAGCUAUAGCUGCUUUCAUUGCUGAAUAAGUCAUGGGAGCAGGAGGUGUCAUAUCUCCUCUAGCUACCUAUUUUGACAAGUUCCAAGUUGCAGUGAAGAAAUAUGACAUUCUUUUCAUUGCGGAUGAGGUCAUCUGUUCUUUGGAGAGGCUCGGAACAAUGUUUGGCUGUGACAAGUAUAACAUCAAACAUGAUCUUGUCUCAUUCGCAAAGGUAAGAAAAAGACAUCUCGGCUAUACCAACUUAUAGAUGGAUGUACAAAUUUUCCUUCUUGAAAUGUUUUCAGGCUCUUUCUUCUGCAUAUAUGCCAAUUGGAGUUGUUCUUGUAAGCCCUGAAAUUUCUGAUGUAAUAUAUUCUCAAAGCAAUAAACUUAGUGAGCAUUCUUUUUAUUUGAUAGGAUAUCAAAUCAUUUCCUUUUGUCUGUUAGCCGAAGCGCUGAAUUUUUUUCUG